CCCCAGACUCCUACGGGAGGCAGCAGUGGGGAAUAUUGCACAAUGGGGGAAACCCUGAUGCAGCGACGCCGCGUGGGCGAUGAAGUAUUUCGGUAUGUAAAGCUCUAUCAGCAGGGAAGAAGAUGACGGUACCUGACUAAGAAGCCCCGGCUAACUACGUGCCAGCAGCCGCGGUAAUACGUAGGGGGCAAGCGUUAUCCGGAUUUACUGGGUGUAAAGGGAGCGUAGACGGCGAUGCAAGCCAGAUGUGAAAGCCCGGGGCUCAACCCCGGGACUGCAUUUGGAACUGUGUGGCUGGAGUGUCGGAGAGGCAGGCGGAAUUCCUAGUGUAGCGGUGAAAUGCGUAGAUAUUAGGAGGAACACCAGUGGCGAAGGCGGCCUGCUGGACGAUGACUGACGUUGAGGCUCGAAAGCGUGGGGAGCAAACAGGAUUAGAUACCCCCGUAAC
This 448-nucleotide ribosomal RNA is filed under the name uncultured bacterium. RNAcentral's name for it is "bacterial SSU rRNA". It matches the Rfam family "Bacterial small subunit ribosomal RNA", at positions 329 to 794 of the family's 1533-position model. The record is from RNAcentral.